RNAcentral lists this long non-coding RNA (644 nucleotides) under Pan troglodytes (chimpanzee). RNAcentral's name for it is "long non-coding RNA NONPTRT015992". The record is from RNAcentral. Lineage: Eukaryota; Metazoa; Chordata; Mammalia; Primates; Hominidae.
GGAUAGCUGUGUGGGUGUGUGUGCAAGUGUAGCCAUUGUGUGGGUAGCCGUGUGGGUAUAUGCAUAGGGUAUGAGUGCUGGGUGUAGACGUGGCAUGGGUGUGUGUGCAGGUCUGUUGGGUGUAGACAUGGUAGUGCGGGUAGCUGUGUGGGUGUAUGUGCAAGUGUAGACAUGGCGUGGGGGAGUGUAGGUGUUGGGCCUCUGGUAGUGUGGGUGUGUGCAGGUGUGGGGUGGUGUGGGUGCAGACGUCUGGGGGGUUGUGUGCGGGUGUUGGGUAUCCAUGUGUGGGGCUGUGUAGACGUCUAUGCAGGUGUGAGUGCAGGUGUAGACGGCGUAUGUGCAGGUGUUGUGUGUCUGGUGUGGGUAGUUGGGGUGCAUGCAGGUAUGUGUGUUGUGUCUAGACGUGUGGGUAGCUGUGGGGGUGUGCAGGUGUGUAUACUGGGUAUAGACGUGGCAUGGGUUGCUGGGUGUGUGUAGGUGUUGGGUAUUUGCAGGUGAGUGUUGGGCGUGGUGUGUGCAGGUGAGUGUUGGGCACGGGCAUGGUGGUGUGUGCAGGUGAGUGUUGGGCGCGGGCGUGGUGUGUGCAGGUGAGUGUUGGGUGCGGGCAUGGUGGUGUGUGCAGGUGAGUGUUGGGCGCGGGCGUG